ACGUAGGGACCAAGCGUUGUUCGGAUUUACUGGGCGUAAAGGGCGCGUAGGCGGCAAUUCAAGUCAGCUGUGAAAUCUCCGGGCUUAACUCGGAACGGUCAGCUGAUACUGCUUUGCUAGAGUGCAGAAGGGGCAAUCGGAAUCCUCGGUGUAGCGGUGAAAUGCGUAGAUAUCUGGAGGAACACCGGUGGCGAAGGCGGCAUCCUGGACCGGUAUUGACGCUGAGGCGCGAAAGCCAGGGGAGCAAACGGGA
This 253-nucleotide ribosomal RNA is filed under the name uncultured prokaryote. Its description in RNAcentral is "partial 16S ribosomal RNA". It matches the Rfam family "Bacterial small subunit ribosomal RNA", at positions 525 to 777 of the family's 1533-position model. The record is from RNAcentral.